RNAcentral lists this long non-coding RNA (7753 nucleotides) under Sus scrofa (pig). RNAcentral's name for it is "lncRNA (ENSSSCG00040058431.1)". The record is from RNAcentral. Lineage: Eukaryota; Metazoa; Chordata; Mammalia; Artiodactyla; Suidae.
CAGUGCUGGAUCCUUAAUCCCUGAGCAAGGCCAGGGAUUGAGCCCGCAUCCUCACAGAGACUAUGUCGAAUUCUCAACCUGCUGAGCCACAAUGGAAACUGUGAGAAAUAUACAUAUAUGUAUGUAUGUGUGUGUGUGUGUGUGUGUGUGUGUGUGUGUAUGAUACAUAGAUACUUUUUAUCUUUUAACACUUUAAAUAUAUAAUUCAGUGACCCAGAUGAGGUUAUUACCAGGCAAUUAUUUCCAUGUAAUGAGAGGAGAGAAAUGAUAUAGCCCUUCUCCUCCAACAGCAUACUAUUAGUCUAAUCAAGCAUAUGAACACUAACGAACAUUUUUGCUACUGUAUCACCACUAAUCUCUAGCUUAGAAAUAAAAACUCUUCAUGUAUAUCUUUCCAUGUAUUGAGAAUAGUAAAGCCAAGCUUGCUAUUUCUUCAUAAUGUACAAAAGGAACAAAAUUAAAUAAAAAAGAUUAAUAAUAGAAUUUCAGAAGAAUAUGUGUUAACUCUUCUUUAAAUGUUUGAUAAAAUUCACCUGUGAGAUCAUCUGGUCCUGGACUUUUGUUUUUGUUGGAAGUUUUCAUUUUUUGUUUUUUUAAUUAAAGUAUAGUUGAUUUAAAGUGCUGUGUCAAUUUCUGCUGUAUAACAAAGUGACCCAGUCAUAUACAUAUAUAUACACACAUUUCCUUUCUCACAUUAUUUUCCAUCAUGGUCUAUCCCAACAGACUGGAUAUAGUUUCCUGUGCUAUAUAGUAGGACCUCAUUGCGUAUCCAUUCUAAAUGUAAUAGUUUGCAUCUACUAACCCCAACUGUUGGAAGUUUUUAGUCGGUUUCAAUUUCAGUACUUGUGAUUAUUCUUUCAUAUUUUAUGUUUCUUCCCGGUUCAGUCUUGGAAGGAUAUCCCUUCUAAGAAUUUGUCCAUUUCUUCUAGGUUGUCCAUUUAUUGGGAUAUAGUUGUCAUAGUAGUCUCUUAUGAUCCUUUGUAUUUCUGUGGUGUCAGUUGAAACUUCUUUUUCAUUUCUCAUUUUAUUGAUCUGAGCUCUCUCCCUUUUUUCUUGAUGAGUCUGGAUAAAGGUUUAUCAAUGUUGUUGAUCCUUUCAAAGAACCAGCUUUUAGUUUCAUUGAUCUUUACACAGACAUUCAUCUUUAGAUAGACAUUUCUUCAAAGAAGGUAUACAGAUGGCCAAAAAAGCACAUGAAAAGAUGCUCAACAUUGCUAAUUUUUAGAGAAAUACAAAUCAAAACUGCAGUGAGAUAUCACUUCACACCAGUUAGAACAGACAUCAUCAAAAAGCCUACAAACUAUAAAUGCUGGAGAAGGUGUGGAGAAAAGGGAACUCUCCUACACUGUUGGUGGGAAUGUAAAUUGCUACAACCACUACGAAGAACAGUACGGAGGUUCCUUAAAAAACUAUAUAUAGAACCUAAUAACCCAGAAAUCCCACCUGGGCUUGUAACUGGAGAAAACCAAACUUUGAAAAGAUACAAGCACCUCAAUGUUAAUUGCAGCACUAUUUACAAUAGGCAAGACAUGGAAGCAACCUAAAUGCCCAUCAACAGAGGAAUGGAUGAAGACUGGAUAUAUACAAUGCAAUAUUAAUCAGCCAUAAAAAGAAUGAAAUAAUGCCAUAUGCAGCAUGGAUGGUUCUAGAGAUUAACAUACUAGGUGAAGUAAAUCAGAUAAAGAUAAACAUAUGAUAAAACUUAUUUAUGGAAUCUAAUUUUUAAAAAUGAUACCAAUAAACAUAUUUACAAAACAGAAACAGACUCACAGACUUUGAAAACAAAUUUAUGGUUACAAAGGGUGAAGGUGUGGAGAGGAUAAAUUGGAAGUUUGGGAUUAACAUAUAGACACUAUUAUACAUAAAAUAGAUAAUAAACAAGGAACUACUGUACAAUACAGGCAACUCUACUCAAUAUUCUUUAAUAACCUAUAUGAGAUAACAUCUGAAUAAGAAUGAAUGCAGGUAUAUACAACUGAAUCACUUUGCUAUAUAACAAACUAACACGACAUUGUAAAGCAACUAUACCCCAAUACAUUUAAAAUGAAUAAAUAAAUAAAUAAUUACAUAAAUAACAGGGAUAUGUCUAAAAGAGUAUAAAUACCAUAUACAUUAAGUAUUUUGGUAACACUGACUAGACUUUGGCUUUUACUUUUGAGUACUGCAAAAGAUAAGAAUUUGACAUAUAAUGUAGAAAGCAUUUAUCAUCAACAAAAGGAUCUGGGGACAUUUCAAGGAAUGUGCUGGAAAAAAAUUAUUUCUUAUAUUUUGUUAGUAUAUCAGACACAUAUAAGAAAAUACUAAAGAGAUGUAAGAAAACAAUCCCAUUUACAAUUGCAAAAAGAACACAAUACUUUGAAGUAAAUUUAACCAAGGAGGUGAAAGACCUGUACACUGAAAACUACAAGAUGUUGAUUAAAUAAAUUGAAGAAUACACAAAUAAAUGGAAAUGUUCUCUGCUCAUGAAUUGGAAGAAUUAAUAUUGUUUAAAUGUCUGUAUUACCAAAAACAAUCUAUAGAUUCAAUUUGGUCCCUGUCAAAAUUGGAGUGGCAUUUUUCAUGUAAAUAGAACACUGCUAAAAUUUGUAUGGAAUCACAAAAGAUCCCAAAUAAUCAAAGCAAUCUUGAGAAAGGAGAAAGCUGGAGGCAUCACGCUCCCUAAUUUAAAACUAUAAUACAAAGAUACAGUAAUCAAAACUGUGGUAUUGGCAUAAAAACAGACACAGAUCAAUGGAACAGGACAGAGAGCCUGGGAAUAAACCCACCCUUAUAUGGUCAAUUAAUUUACAGCAAAGGAGGCAAGGGUAUACAAUGAGGGAAGGACAAUCUCAUAACUAAAUGGUCUUGGGAAAAGAGCCACAUAAAAAAGAAGAAAAUUAGACUACUAUCUUACAUCAUGCACAAAAAUUAACUCAAAAUGGAUUAAACACUUGAUGUAAAAGCUGAAGUCAUACAAUUCCUAGAAGAAAACAUAGGCAAUAAGCUCCCUGACUUUGAUCUUGGCAAUAAUUUUUCUUGUAUCUGACUCCAAAGGCAAGGGCAACAAAAGUGAAAAUUAGCAAGUGGGACUAUAUCAAACAGAAUCUUCCGAAGAGCAUAGGAAACCAUAAGCAAAAUUAAAACGGAUCUUGAAUGAUAGAAAAUACUUGCAAACUAUAUAUCUAAUAGGGAUUAAUACCCCGAAUAUAGAAAGAACACAUACAACUCAAUAACAAAAAAAAUCUGAUUAAAAAAAUGGGCAUAAGAUCUGAGCAGACAUUUUUCCAGAGAAGACACUCAAAUAGUCCAAAUCUCUAAUCAUAAGGGAAAUCCAAAUCAAAACCACCUCACACCUGUUCGAAUGGUGGUUAUCAAAAGACAAGAAAUAACAAGUGUUGCCAAGGCCGUGGAGAAAAUAGAACCAUUGUGUACUGUUGGUGGGAAGAUAAAUUGGUACAGUCACUGUGGAAAACAGUAUGGAUAUUCCUGAAAAAUUUUAAAUACAAUGCCACAUGACCCAGCAAUUCCACUUCAGGAUGUAUAUCUAAUCAUUAUAUUAUAUACCUGAAACUAACAUAAUGUUAUAUGUUAUUUAUAUCACUUAAAAAAAGGAAAAUAUUUAUAUUCUCCUAAUGGAAAAAAAGAAAGUAGAGCAAAAGUAUAUGUGCAAUAAUAUUACAUAUGAUAAGAGUUCACACAGGCGAUUUUAACGCAUAUUUUGAGGGAGGUUUGGUGAAUCUCUACCUCCUCUGUGGCCAAAUUAAAUAGCAUUGUUUUAUUUAUGUCAUUUCUUCUUUUAUUUUUAAUGAAUUAUUUCAUAUACACAAAACCAAAAAUAUGUAUAAGACAUACACACACGAUAUAAAGAUUAAAAAGCACCCAAAUACUCACUAACAAGCAUAAAAAAUAGAACACUAGCAGCACCCUGGAAAGCUUAGGGUCCCAUUCCAAUCUCUCCUCAACCUUUAUCCCAGAAGUAGGCACUAUUCUGAAAUGUGCGCUUGUCAUUCCUUUGCUCUGUCAUUACAUAAGGCAGAGAAGUGCACAGUUCUUAAAUAUAAAGUUCAGUGUCUUUACAGUGAUGUGUAUCUCCAUGUAACCAGAACACAGAUUAAGAUAUGCAGCACUGACAGUUCCCCAGAAAGCUAUAUUGUACCCUCUCUUGGUCAUUACCAACCCAAAUGCAAACAACAUAUUUCCUUCAGUUAACAUAAAACAAUGUUGCCAGUUCUCAGGAUUAAUAUAAAAAGAAUCAUGAAGCAUAUAUUUUUUGCCUCUCGAUUCUAUCACUCAACAUUAUGGUUUUGAAAUAUAUUCACCUUGUUACAGGUAUCAUUGCACUCUCAUGGCUGCAUCAUUUUUCACAUUUUAGUUGUCUAGUCUAUGGCCCAUGAACAUGGAUUACGUCAUCUGAAGCUACAUGAAUAGGGUUGCUACAAACAUCUUUGUGCAUGUCUUAUUAGUAGGUGAAUGCAUUUAAGUUUUGUUUCACUUACACCUAUGAGUGGAAAUUCUGGGCUCAAGAGUUGGUAUUUGUUUAGCUUGGGUAGAUACUGCAGUUUUCCAAAGUAGAUAUAUCAAUUUAAACUCCCACCAGCAAUAUGUGUGAGCUCUGAUUGCUCCACACUUUCUUCAAAACUUGUUCUUGUCAUUUAAAAAAAAUCUUAGCCAUCUGGUGGAUUUGUAAUGGUAUAUGUCAUCGUGGCUCUAAUUUGAAUUUUCCUAAAGACUGCUGUGAUUUUGAGCACAUUUACAUAUGCUCAUUAUCCAUUUGGAUAUCCCUGUUUAUGAAAUGCCUGCUUCAGUCCUUUAUCCUUCCUUAAAAUUAGGUUGUCUGCAUUUUACUUAAUGAUUUGUAGAAGUUAUUUAUAUACUCUGGGUACAAUUCUUUUGUUAGAUGUGUAUAUGGCAAAUAUUGUCUUGAUUCUGUGAGUUAUCUUUUAACAUACUAUUCCUUCUUGAUUCUCAGAUCUUUAUUUCUGGAUUUAUUUUCUUUCUUAAGAGUACAUCCUUUAUAUAGUUCUAUACUGGAAAUUCAAGUGAUUAUAAAUCCUCUUUUUUUCCAAACCUGUAAAAGUCUUUUAUUUCUAUUUUUUAAAAAAAUUGUUUUGGUUCACAGCUCUUGAGAGUGUUUCCCCCAUACCCUGGCUUCCAGCUUCUGUUUUGGCCUUGGUAAAGUUUACUGCUUGCCCCAUUGAUGUACCAGCCUUAUUCCUGUAUCCACCUUCUCAAAUUUCAUUAUUAUAUGAUAUAUUGGGAAAUUACUUUUUUAUCCUUCUUGGGAUAUUCUGUAUUUUCCAAAUCUGAGAAAGAUUUAUUUACUAAUUCUAGAAAGUUCUCAGAUAUCAUUAUCUUUGCAUUAUUGUCUCACUUCAGCCUUGCACCAGUCUCCCAAUUUCUCCUGCUCCAACGCCAAUUAAAUAAACCUUGUGCCUUCAUACACUCAUCUCAAUGUCUUUUUACCAUCUUUUUUUUUAUAAUUUUCUAUUUUUUUUAAACUGCAUUCUGGAUGAUGGCUUAAGAUCUACUAUCCCCAAAAACUUUCUUUUCUGUUGUGCCAUAUUUUUUUUAUUAUUAUUACUUUUUUUUCCCCCUUUUAUGGCCACUCUGCAGCAUAUGGAGUUCCCAGGCCAGGGAUCAGAUCUAAGCUGCAGUUUGACCUAUGCCUGCAGCUGCAGCAAACCUGGAUCCUUUAACCCACUGUGCCAGGCUGGAGAUCAAGCCUGUGUCCUGGCACUGCAGAGAUGUUGCCAACGCCAUCGCACCACAAUGGGAACUCCCGUCACUUUUUUUCCUAAUAUCUUUAUGGUUUUCAGUAUUUUUACAAAGACAAGACCAGUAGAAUAAGUUUCAGUUUCAGAUUGUCAGUCAAUAUACAAGACACAACAGGCUUAUCCAGCAACAAGUUUGCUUACUUAGUAAAGGGUAAACAACAGAUAGCAAGCAUUAUGCAGAGCAAGAAAAUCCUGGAGCCUUCAGACACCCAGAUGCAGCAUCUCAUGUGCCCAAUCAUUGCACUGUUAUCAAAAAAUGACAAGAAAAUGUUAAGAGUGUGCAUCACAUCUGUGUAGGGAAGCUACAGGGAGUAAGGCCUCUCAGCCUAGUCACCUAAAGGCCAUUCUUUAGUAUGGUUUCAGUACAUUAAUGACAGAAUAUAUAAUAAAUAAUUGUGAUGGUCAUGGACAUUGUGCUUAUACUUACCUUUCAUAAGCAGUACAACCCCUUAGAGUAGUUCAAAUAAUAUUCUUCUGGGCCCAGUCCAUCUCAAAGUGGGUACACUGGUCCCACAGACCCCACCCGUGCUCAUUUCUCCAUUUCCCAAAUUAUAAUCAAAACAGACAUAUAUAUUGGCUCUUGGAACCAUAGCAAUGGUCCCUUGGUCUGGCUCUUCUAGUAGAAAAAGCUGAAUUGAAUCCCUUAAAACUACCUUCAUUUACUUCUGGCCAAUCUAGUGAUUAUAAACUAAUAUUGCAUCCUGGGGUAUUGGCAGAAAUCAAUACCACUCAUGAAGAGCUAAAAAAGAUAAAUCUUUUAUAUAAAAGAUAGAAUCAACUAUUAGGGAGAAAAAUAAAAUAAAGUGGAAAGGAGUCAAGAAGAAUCAGGUGGGGUUGAGGUUCCAGUUUAAGGUUGUAGGGUCAGGGCAGGCAUUUGUAUGAAAUCAGAGGGAAGUGAGGGGGUCACCUGUGUGGAUAUCUGAGAUAAGGGCAGUUCUUGAUGGAGAGAAAGCAAAGUCAAAGGCCUAGAGGCAAGACAGUUUUGUCUUGUUUGAUGAGCAGUGAGGAGGCCGGUAUGACUUGGACACAAUGAGUGAGAGGACAAGAGGUCAGAGAAGUAACAGGAACAGAUUGUGUAGGGCUUUGUAGAUCAUUUUAGGAAUUUUGGAUUUUAUUCUGAGUGAGGUGAGAAGCAACUGUGGUGUGGAAUACUGUUGUUUUAAUGAGAUCACUCUGACUGCUGUGUUAAGAACUGAUUGAUCAGUAGCAAGAGCAGGAACAGAGAGACUGGUUACAGGGUUACUGCAGAAACUCAAGAAGAGAUGAUUGAACUUGGGCCACAGUGGUACAAUAGAAGCAGUAAAAAGUGGCAAAACUUAGCAAAUAUUUUGAUGGUAAAAUCUAAAGGAUACUUUCAUUCUAUUGGAUUCAGUUUUCAGUAUUCCAGCCUUAGAGGAUAUAUUGGGAUCCUAAUUCUGGCUCUUCCUUCUCAUGAAUUUUACAUACUCCUUCCUUUUAGAAGUAAUUAUGUUACAUAAGCUUUUGGAUAAACAUCCAGAAGUCUCAUUAAUGUUGACUUUGAUCUUAAAACAAACACUUCUUACAUAAAAGUCUUGGUUAUGAGAGCUAAACACAUCUCAGAGACACUUUGCUUUCUCCUUUCUCAUCUCCUUCCUAAAAUUGUUUGACUCAGUUAGUAAGAGGGCAGCGUUAAUCACUGGAGUCUUGGCAUCUAUCUACGUUAUCCAGACAUACUGUGAAAUUUGGUCCUUGUGCUCAGCACUAUGGGUCCCUGGUUGAGGGGAGCAGGGUAUCCCUCCUGGCUUCUUAACACAGGGAGCCUCUUCCUUAAUAGUAAAGAACUGACUUCGACCCCAAUUAAGACUAUCUUAGUUGUUAACAACAGGAAGAUAGUUAUUCCAUAGUUAAACAUGACAAAGAACAUACACACAUGCCAAAGAAAAUUUAUUUUCAACCUUCCCAAAUCUUCCAUAGAUGAAUAGGAUGUUUAUGACACCUUUCAAAUUCAAGAGAACUGGAAAGCACGGUAUAGAAAAGAA